This 67-nucleotide ribosomal RNA is filed under the name Vibrio parahaemolyticus. RNAcentral's name for it is "partial 16S ribosomal RNA". It matches the Rfam family "Bacterial small subunit ribosomal RNA", at positions 1 to 64 of the family's 1533-position model. Lineage: Bacteria; Pseudomonadati; Pseudomonadota; Gammaproteobacteria; Vibrionales; Vibrionaceae. The record is from RNAcentral.
AUUUUUAUGGAGAGUUUGAUCCUGGCUCAGAGUGAACGCUGGCGGCGUGCCUAAUACAUGCAAGUCG